GACGAACGCUGGCGGCGUGCCUAAUACAUGCAAGUAGAACGCUGAAGAGAGGAGCUUGCUCUUCUUGGAUGAGUUGCGAACGGGUGAGUAACGCGUAGGUAACCUGCCUUGUAGCGGGGGAUAACUAUUGGAAACGAUAGCUAAUACCGCAUAACAAUGGAUGACACAUGUCAUUUAUUUGAAAGGGGCAAUUGCUCCACUACAAGAUGGACCUGCGUUGUAUUAGCUAGUAGGUGAGGUAAUGGCUCACCUAGGCGACGAUACAUAGCCGACCUGAGAGGGUGAUCGGCCAAACUGGGACUGAGACACGGCCCAGACUCCUACGGGAGGCAGCAGUAGGGAAUCUUCGGCAAUGGGGGCAACCCUGACCGAGCAACGCCGCGUGAGUGAAGAAGGGUUUCGGAUCGUAAAGCUCUGUUGUAAGUCAAGAACGGGUGUGAGAGUGGAAAGUUCACACUGUGACGGUAGCUUACCAGAAAGGGACGGCUAACUACGUG
Molecule: ribosomal RNA, 497 nt
Filed under: uncultured bacterium
Lineage: Bacteria
Description: partial 16S ribosomal RNA
Rfam family: Bacterial small subunit ribosomal RNA
Source: RNAcentral